RNAcentral lists this ribosomal RNA (372 nucleotides) under uncultured bacterium. RNAcentral describes it as "bacterial SSU rRNA". It matches the Rfam family "Bacterial small subunit ribosomal RNA", at positions 524 to 898 of the family's 1533-position model. The record is from RNAcentral.
UACGGAGGAUCCGAGCGUUAUCCGGAUUUAUUGGGUUUAAAGGGAGCGUAGAUGGAUGUUUAAGUCAGUUGUGAAAGUUUGCGGCUCAACCGUAAAAUUGCAGUUGAUACUGGAUAUCUUGAGUGCAGUUGAGGCAGGCGGAAUUCGUGGUGUAGCGGUGAAAUGCUUAGAUAUCACGAAGAACUCCGAUUGCGAAGGCAGCCUGCUAAGCUGCAACUGACAUUGAGGCUCGAAAGUGUGGGUAUCAAACAGGAUUAGAUACCCUGGUAGUCCACACGGUAAACGAUGAAUACUCGCUGUUUGCGAUAUACAGCAAGCGGCCAAGCGAAAGCGUUAAGUAUUCCACCUGGGGAGUACGCCGGCAACGGUGAA